UGGGCUCCAGCAUUUGUCUUCUCCC
This 25-nucleotide non-coding RNA is filed under the name Mus musculus (house mouse). Lineage: Eukaryota; Metazoa; Chordata; Mammalia; Rodentia; Muridae. The record is from RNAcentral.